UUAAAAGGUGGGGUUUAGGAUUUAGGGUUUAGGGUUUAGGGUUUAGGGUUUAGAGUUUAGAGUUUAGAGUUUAGAGUUUAGGGUUUAUGGUUUAGGGUUUAGAGUUUAGGGUUUAGAGUUUAGGGUUUAGGGUUUAGAGUUGAGAAAUGAGUUUUAGGGAUAAGAUUUCAAAUUUUGAAAAAUAAAAAAAAUAAAAUUUUCAAAGGAUA
RNAcentral lists this long non-coding RNA (209 nucleotides) under Brassica napus (rape). Its description in RNAcentral is "long non-coding RNA (BNAP_LNC016109)". Lineage: Eukaryota; Viridiplantae; Streptophyta; Magnoliopsida; Brassicales; Brassicaceae. The record is from RNAcentral.